Molecule: long non-coding RNA, 1023 nt
Filed under: Pomacea canaliculata
Lineage: Eukaryota; Metazoa; Mollusca; Gastropoda; Architaenioglossa; Ampullariidae
Description: uncharacterized LOC112556535, transcript variant X1
Source: RNAcentral
CAAUAAUUUUAAAAAUAAGUUUGCAAACUGCAUACAAUCUGAUUUAAAAUCUUUUAACCUGGUUUUAAAAUGUUUGGAGAUCCAAACAAAGCAGAUACAUAAAUAUGAUUUUAUGCAAUUUCUACAGACUUCAGUCAAUUCUAUAAAUGACGAUACAAAUGCAUUACUAUGGACUGUACUGAUGCAGGAUCAAACAUUAAAAAAAGAAGUUUUAAUUACAAAAUAAGAAAUGCUCAAUUUAAAAUGUUUUAAUAAAAGCAGCAAUCGCAAACAAAUUUAUUUGAGAAUUUUGAUACAGGUCACAUGAUUCCACAAAACUACAAUGCUGCUUAAAAGACAGUUUUUAUUUAUACAUGCACAUAAGGUGAUCUUGCCAAACUGGUCAGAUCCACAACCUUUAUCUUGAAAGUUAGUGUUUAUUUAACUCUAAAAUUAGAUGUCAGAUUCACUGCUAUGGAGGUAUACAUCACAAAGUGACAUGCUUAUUAUCUCAUGCCAAGUGCUUGACCUACUUGGAAAUACAAAACAGGAAGUGAAAAGAAGAAAGGGUAGUAUGCUUGGCUCCUAAUAAAACAUCCAUUGUGACAGCGGCUUAGUAUCAAAAUGAAAGAGGCAGAAUUCAAAAUUUAGAGCUUCCAAAGCAGGCAGACCACGAAUUUGUUGAAAUGCCAAAGUAACCAGAAAUGGAGAAAAGUUUGAUCAUUCCAGUUUUAGUGGUAAUGUCAAAUGGUCUGGUAUGUUCAAGUGCAUCACUACAGGUGAUGAAUGUUGAUACUACAAUCUGGAACCUGAAACCAUGGCUCAGUUGAGGAAUUGGUCAUUGCUAGAUGAAAAUCAAAGACCUAGGAAUUUGCAAGAACUGCAAUUACACUUGAAACAAAACUAGAGAGUGAAGUCCCCUUCAGUGCUUGUGCUGGGACGAGCUAGAAAACUUCCAUCUGUUCCCCUCUCCAUCAGAAGUCUCUCUGCAUCCACCCCAUUGAUGUUGGGGUGGAACCACCUACAGCAACAAAGCAAUACCAC